AAAACAGUUAAAAUGGCGUCAACCAGAUUGCUUCGAAACGAUGCAUUGUGAUGUUAACAAAUAAGUAGGUUUUACAUUCCAUUUUAUGAAGGCUGCGAUUUUAUUCCUGCUAAUCUCAUCAGGUGCGCCAUGGUACAUCCGGAAUGGCAACCUCCAUAAAGACCUAAAGAUGCAAACAGUGGACAAUGUAAUCAAAAAUUAUGCAAAAAGUCAUGAACAAAGACUACAAAAUCACAUCAACAUUGAGGCCAUCCAGCUUUUGAACAACGAUGGCUUAACAAGAAGACUACAUCGAGUGAAACCCUAUGAACUAGUGCAUGGAAUUAAUCGUUGAUUUUUAACAAAAGAAAAGAAGUAUGCCUAUAUAUGUACACAUUAAAAUAGUGACUAUCCAAUGACAAAGCCGAAGUUAAUAUCACAGGCUAACACUUUGCAAAUGUACAUCUAGUAGAUUAGGUUAAAGAAGAGUAGCUUAUUGGUGUAAACUAGAUUGCUUUAACAAACUAAUAAAGAAAAAAUCUAGAAACA
This is a long non-coding RNA of Dendroctonus ponderosae (mountain pine beetle), 528 nucleotides long. RefSeq lists it as uncharacterized. The record is from RefSeq and is a predicted model, not a curated record. The transcript is spliced from 2 exons. Lineage: Eukaryota; Metazoa; Arthropoda; Insecta; Coleoptera; Curculionidae.